ACAAUGAAAUAAAACCGUAGACAGCGGGUGCGAAAGCUUAAUUUCCCGCCGAGGUACAAUAUAAAAUAUUGACCUUGCAUACUGCGGAAAACGAAAGCAUGCAAGGUUUUUUUAUG
RNAcentral lists this small RNA (116 nucleotides) under human gut metagenome. Its description in RNAcentral is "Ribosomal protein L10 leader". It matches the Rfam family "Ribosomal protein L10 leader", at positions 11 to 133 of the family's 138-position model. From Rfam's summary of the family: This family is a putative r-protein leader autoregulatory structure found in B. subtilis and other low-GC Gram-positive bacteria. It is located in the 5' untranslated regions of mRNAs encoding ribosomal proteins L10 and L12 (rplJ-rplL). A Rho-independent transcription terminator structure that is probably involved in regulation is included at the 3' end. The record is from RNAcentral.